GGGAUGGGGGGGCAUCCACAGCCUCUCUGGGCAACCUGUGCCAGUGCCUCACCAGCCUCACGGUGAAGAAUUUCCUAUGUGCUUUGGUGCCCAGAUCAAGCAAACCAAGAAACACAGCUCUUGGGGCUGCGUCUCAAUCAUUUCCUUUAGUAAUAGCAUGUGCACUGUCUGUGUUAGUGGAAAGGGAAAAUGAAACUCAGGCAUGCCAACAGAAUGACAAAGAAAAAUAGUAGUGGGGCUGGCUGCUGUCUUCAAGGUCUGAGUGCCCCCCUUUAUGUUUCAUGGUUUAUUGGAACAUGUAAGAGGCUUUUAUAUAAAUAGGAACCUGCUUCAAAAAUUGUUCAUUGUAGUGCUUUACAGCAGGGGAUGCGUGGGGAUUAUGUAGUAGAAUACAAAUGAAAAUACAAUUCAACUUUGUUCAGUAUCUAUUGAAAAGCAAACAGGAACUUAUUUAUCUACCUGUAGUCUUCUUCAGUACUUUUUUUUUUUUAGGCAGGUGGGGAAACUGUCACAUUUUUCAUUUCUGUCAAUGUUAAUUCAUAUUGUAUAGUCAAAUGAGUAGCCACACCAACUUCAGUGGGAUUGUGUGUAUAAGCGCUGCUUAUCAUGGCAUACUGAUGGAACUGACUUUAAACUGACGUUUAAGAAGUAAUUAUCCACUCAGGCCAUAAAAAAGAAACUAUUUUUACAAUGGAAAACUUCCUGUUGUGUAUAAACAUAAAGAAUUAACUGUAUUGAUUAACUCAACUUUUAGAACAGCCUAAUUAGAAAAGCUCCUGAUAAGGAAACAUGGAUUAAUGACUGUGUUUAUUGGGAUGCAAAUACAGUGAAAAAGAAAUAAACACCAACUGUGAACUCAAGGUAAAAAAGAAAUUCAGUUUGUGAAUUACAAUCAACAUUGUACAGCAACAGAACUGCUUAGCACAGAGAAAGGAAGGGAGGCCACAGGAGCUGCUGUUUUCUCCUGUUGAUAUAACGUUAUUAAUGUUGAUGGCAUUUCUCCAGCAAAUAUUUCACAUAAAUCAUGUAUCAUCACUUGUGACAGCAUGAUGGCAUAAAAGAAUAUUACCGUUGUCUGUGAUCUACCUAAAGCUAACUGCUUGCAUAGGUUUCAUUAGUUUUCAACUGACAGGAAAAAAACUGAUUAAAAACGUGGUUUUAUGUUCUGAUGUACACUUCUCAGAUGGGGUUAAGACUUUUAAAUCUUCUCCCUCUCUUCUGUCCUCACCCAUUCCAGAUCUCUGUAAUGUCCUUUUUCUAUUAUUCUAACUUCUUGUAUCUCUUCCCACAUGUAGGGUUGUUUGACACAUCUCUAACUCCAUCCUUUCUAUCUUUGUAUUCCACCUGCUAUGGAUCUGUUGGUCUUUCCCUUUCCUUAUUGCUUCCAGAUCUACUCUGUCUUCAAAGCUAUACGAUUUCAGGGGCUUUCUGUACCUGUUUAGGACUCUCACUAUUGCAUAGUUUCUUCAGUACUCUGAUUUUAACUCUUGUCUAAUCCAAUGUUUCCAGACCUGUAGUCCUUAUGUUUUGUUUCCUUGUUUUCAAGGACAGGUUUCUAAUGCCUUGAUUUGAAAAAAUCAGGAAUUACCUACCUAGCCCAUCCCUAGAUUGAUGCUCCAGGUGUCAGCUACUGCUGAUUUACAAUCAUGCUAUUUUCCAUGAGGUCAGCACAUUCUUGUGCCUGGAAGAGGUCCAUAUCUGCUAGCUUUCCAGCAAGAAAUGCUAUAAAUGGCUGCUACAACAUCAGUGGCACAAAAGAAUGUGGGAUAUGACACCAUCUAUCCCCUGUGCUGCUCAGAAGAUGUGUCCUCUGAGAGUUGAGGUCUGCAGAUGGAGCAGGUAAAAAAAAAAAGAAAAAAAAGCUCUAAGUUAGGAGAUGACAAUGCAGUUGUAUUACCCUCCACCCAAAUUCAUGCCCUUGUAGCCUCCUUUGUCCCUGGAGCAAAUUCAAAGAAGCUGAAAGCAGCAGCAGGGGAAGGAAAUACUCUGAGAAAUUUGCCAAAAUAGUGACAUUAUGAUUGACUGAAGGAGCACAGCUGCCACAGGAGAGGAUGCAGACUUCGAGGUCGGGCAUGAAUCUUCACUGCUACAGGGCAUACACUGUCAGAUAUGUGAGGAUAACCCAGAAAUCACCUUCUCCUUCACGAUCAUUAAGCAAAAGCUGUGCAGAGAUUACGGCACCCGAGAAUCCAGAGUUUAGACUCAGAGGAGCUGCAGGAAAGGACAAAUCCUUGUGAUAGAAUGCAAGUACUGUCACUUCUUAUGAAGGGAGAGAAGAUCUGCUGGAAUUUAGUACAAGACACAGGUCUGCCUCUUUGCUGUGAUAAUAUUAGGCAAAACUUGGGGAAAAAAGGGAAGAACAACUGACUUUCUUGAGAUUUUACUGCUGGAUGUAUUGGAGAUGGUGAUCACAUUGUAGCUGUUAUGAUCCAAAGAUAUAAUCAAGUGAUCUUUCUGGGGAAGCUAAUUUACAUAAAAAUUAUUUUAUUAGAGAUGUAUACAAUUGAUGAAAAUGCAGGCAAUUUGGAGAGCACAUAAGCUCUUCUCCAACUGUCCUAUUGACAUUUUCUUGUGUGAUGUUUUUAACUUUUACAAAUAUUUCAAAAGAUCUAAACAUACCUAUUUUAUAUACCCUUGGUCAAAUUUGUAACACAAUUAAAAAUAUACCUCCUUAGCUUACAAAUAAACUAAUGUUAUUCCCUACCGACUUGCAUCAGCUUACUUUAAGGUUAUUAUUGUUUAUAAUUUUUGUUCUGAAAUGCAAAUUCAUGGUCCCACAUGUGGUGCACCCUGUCAUGUUAGUUACUACAGAAAUAAAGAAUAAAAUGUGGCCACAGGCUAAGUUAAUACCUGCUAUGUUUUUCAUCUCGUGCAUUGGUGGAGUAACCUUACCGUAUUUUUAGAUGACCUCUAACGGUUUGCAAUCAGCACAUACCAUAAUGACGUAACAAAUUACCUAAUGUUUGCAUAAAUGCAAAAAUCCUUAAUGUAAGCAUGCCCAAGGUUAUUUGAAAUUCCAUUGCUAAAACAGAACAGGCAGUAAGUGCCACUGCAGUCCAUUUUAGAAGGACUGAUCUUGUUUCUAGUUUUCAGACAUGUCCACAAUUCUCCUGUAUUUCAAGGCCAAUACUUUCCAAAAAAGAAAUCUAAAUUUUAAGUGUGCAAUAUUAUUUUAUUUUAGUGCACGUGGAGAGUUUGCCUCCUAGACAUCCACCUUACAUCAGUAUUGUACUUCCACAAAAUAUGAAGAGAGUUUCAUAGUCGCUUUGGACUUAACUGGCAUAAUAUUAGUUGGCAUUAAUUGCAAUGAACAGCGUAUUUCCGGCGUAGCAAGUGCUAGGAAUGCCACUUCAAAAGCAGCUUUUCUACCAUGAGGAGGAGACCUCACUCACAAAAGAGUUAAUUUUAGUGAAGAGGUUCUAAUUGAGAGAUUUUCCAGCUCUCAUUUUCACACAUGUUGGUUGCAGAGCUGUCUGGUCUUUUAUAUUUGCAUAUGUUUUGCCCAUUAAAUUUGUCGGUAUCACAGAAGUUAUAAGAAUUAAAGGCUUUACCAGAAAAGAGAGCUACUUCGUGAGAGGUCACAAGUUCAAUUUACAGCAUGUCAGCAACUCUAAGGGGAGUUGUACAGGGGCAGGGGAACAUUUUUGUUAAGAAAAAAACCUCCUUAUUGUUUAUUAACCGUCAAUAAUUUAUAAGGAAAGUAAUAAAAUUACUGCAUUUUUUACCCCAAUUCAAUUUGAAAACAAAAAGUAAAUAUUUUUUCCCCGUUAAUGAGAAAUCCUGUAUUCCACUUAGUUACAUUCUC
Molecule: RNA transcript, 3805 nt
Organism: Aquila chrysaetos chrysaetos
Lineage: Eukaryota; Metazoa; Chordata; Aves; Accipitriformes; Accipitridae
Gene name: translation initiation factor IF-2-like
Exons: 2
Source: RefSeq, a predicted model, not a curated record